Molecule: long non-coding RNA, 420 nt
Filed under: Ananas comosus (pineapple)
Lineage: Eukaryota; Viridiplantae; Streptophyta; Magnoliopsida; Poales; Bromeliaceae
Description: long non-coding RNA (ACOM_LNC041226)
Source: RNAcentral
AUAUACCUUUUAUAUGUUCCUCCGUUAUUUUAAAAUAUUCCUACAGUUCAGUCCGUUAAGUUAACUUGAGUUAAACGUUAGUUAAAUCUCUACUAGAGUUAAAAAAAAUUAAAAUGACUUUUUUGCCCUUAAUUUAAGGACAAAUAAGAAAUGCCGGUGAUGGUAAAAGGGUAUAUUUGAAAAGAUAAAAAAUUAAAGUACUUUUUUGUACCCAUAACUUAAUGGCAAAUAAGAAAAGUCGGUGAUGGUAGAAGAGUAUAUUUGAAAGAAAAAAAAAUAAUCUUAUCUAGAUAACAGUUAUUGCUAAUAUUUUAUUAACAGAUUGGAACGUAAAAAAAUAUUUUCAAUAUUAGCUUUCUAGUAAAUCAGAAAGUCGAAAACUUUUCAAGAGUAUAUAAGUAAUUGCCCCUUUUUCCUUUU